GAAUCUUCCGCAAUGGACGAAAGUCUGACGGAGCAACGCCGCGUGAGUGAAGAAGGCCUUCGGGUCGUAAAACUCUGUUGUUAGGGAAGAAUAAGUGUCGGAGUAACUGCCGGCACCUUGACGGUACCUAACCAGAAAGCCACGGCUACAUACGUGCCAGCAGCCGCGGUAAUACGUAGGUGGCAACCGUUGUCCGGAAUUAUUGGGCGUAAAGCGCGCGCAGGCGGUUUCUUAAGUCUGAUGUGAAAGCCCCCGGCUCAACCGGGGAGGGUCAUUGGAAACUGGGAAACUUGAGUGCAGAAGAGAAGAGCGGAAUUCCACGUGUAGCGGUGAAAUGCGUAGAGAUGUGGAGGAACACCAGUGGCGAAGGCGGCUCUUUGGUCUGUAACUGACGCUGAGGCGCGAAAGCGUGGGGAGCAAACA
RNAcentral lists this ribosomal RNA (423 nucleotides) under uncultured bacterium. RNAcentral describes it as "partial 16S ribosomal RNA". It matches the Rfam family "Bacterial small subunit ribosomal RNA", at positions 359 to 774 of the family's 1533-position model. The record is from RNAcentral.